AUGGCCGGGCAUCUAGCCAAAAACCCAUUUCUCCUCCUCCUCCAGCCCCGCCGCCUGUGCACCGCCGCCGCAUCCUCCUCGGCCGCCGCGGGAGAACUCGCCCCCUCGCCCGUCGUCGAGGAGAUUCCCCGCGACGAUGACCUCGCGGAGGAGUCGCGCAGCCGCCUCGUGCGCGACACCUGCAAGCUGCUCGAGCUCCGGGGCUCGUGGACCCCGAAGCUGGAGGCGCAGCUCCGGCACCUGCUCCGGGUGCUCUCCCCGCCGCAGGUCCGCGCCGUGCUCCGCGCGCAGGCGCAGACGGACGCCCGCGCCGCGUUCGAGUUCUUCCGCUGGGCCGACCGCCAGUGGCGCUACCGGCACGCCCUGGAGGCGUUCGACGAAAUGCUGAGCCCCCUCAGCCACACCAGGCUCCACGACCCCGCCCGGCACGUCAUGCGCCUCAUGAUCCGCCGCCGCAUGAGGCGCCGGACGCAGCAGUUCGCGCACCUCAUGCUCUCGUACAGCUGCGCGGGGAAGCUCCGCUCCGCCAUGCGCGUGCUCCAACUCAUGCAGAAGGACGGGUGCGCGCCUGACAUAUCGAUAUGCAAUGUGGCGGUGAAUGUGCUUGUUUUUGCUGGCUGCAUCGACAAGGCGCUUGAGUUUAGCGACCGGAUGCGACGUGUUGGGGUCGAGCUGGAUGUAGUCCCAUACAAUUGCCUUAUCAAGGGGUUGUGUAGCGUGCGGAGGGUUGUUGAGGCGCUAGAGAUGAUCGGUGUGAUGCUGCAAAAUGGGUGCCCACCUGAUAAGAUUAUCUAUUAUACAGUGAUGGCAGAGGUGCGGGGUUUGCUUCGGAGGAUGAGGAAUGAUGCGGGUCUAUUUCCAGAUCAGGUCACGUAUAACAUGCUCAUCCAUGUGCUUGCAAAGCAUGGGCAUGCAGAUGAGGCGUUGGAGUUCUUGAGGGAGUCAGAGGGGAAAAGGUUCCGUGUUGAUGGGCAUGCAGUUGUGCACUCUUUCUGCUUGAAUGGGAGGAUGACUGAGGCAAAGGAGAUUGUAAGUGAGAUGAUCUCAAAAGAAUGUCACCCUGACGUUGUCACGUAUAGCGCAGUUGUUGAUGGGUUCUGCCGGAUCGGGGAAAUUGAUCAAGCAAGAAAGAUGAUGAAGCAUAUGUAUAAGAAUGGCUGCAAGCCAAACAUAGUCAGACAUACUGCAUUAUUAAAUGGUCUCUGCAAAGCUGGGAAAACUUCAGAGGCUCGGGAAUUGCUAAACAACAGUGCAGAGGAGUGGUGGACUCCAAGUGAUAUCACAUACAGUGUUGUAAUGCAUGGGUUUAGAAGAGAAGGGAAACUAAAGGAAUCAUGUGAUGUCGUUACCCAGAUGUUGCAGAAGGGUUUCUUUCCCACUACUGUGGAGAGUAACUUACUGAUCCAUGCGUCAUGUCUACAUAGUUCUCGAACCCGUAGGGUCCGCACGCUUAAAGUUUUGUGA
RNAcentral lists this ribosomal RNA (1464 nucleotides) under Triticum aestivum (bread wheat). RNAcentral's name for it is "partial small subunit ribosomal RNA". Lineage: Eukaryota; Viridiplantae; Streptophyta; Magnoliopsida; Poales; Poaceae. The record is from RNAcentral.